Molecule: long non-coding RNA, 145 nt
Organism: Ipomoea triloba (trilobed morning glory)
Lineage: Eukaryota; Viridiplantae; Streptophyta; Magnoliopsida; Solanales; Convolvulaceae
Exons: 2
Source: RefSeq, a predicted model, not a curated record
AGGUCAAGAAAUUUAAGAAAAUGUUGCAAAAAGUUGACAACAACUCUUGUACAGCUCAUCCUAUUGAAUCACAAGCAGUAGAGUCGCUUCGCCCCAUCUAUAAGUCAGCAUUGGAGAAAUUGAAAGAAAGUGUUGAAUCAUAAAA